Molecule: long non-coding RNA, 1552 nt
Organism: Papaver somniferum (opium poppy)
Lineage: Eukaryota; Viridiplantae; Streptophyta; Magnoliopsida; Ranunculales; Papaveraceae
Exons: 2
Source: RefSeq, a predicted model, not a curated record
AUAGUAAACAAUUAUCUUCAUCUUCUCUGUCCGGAUCUUGAUUUCUUUUAAGAUCUGGGUAGAUUAGCGUAUCCUAUAUCAUAUGUAAGUAAAUAAAUUGCAUUUCAGCAAUGCAUAUUAUGUUUUUCUGUUUAUAUUUUCUAAUAAAUAUGGUAAAUUGUUGCCAUUGUUAUUUUCUACGCACUCUCGAAGUGGUUUGUGAUGGCCUUAAGGGUAUUUGUUGUUGGUGCAUUAAUGCUUGGAAGGAAUCAUCGAUCCCCAAUCAACUGCAUCAUCUGUUACCAUAUUCGGAUAUUAUGCAUGGAAAUAUUCUCGUAGUUGCUGAUCUAUUUUUAGAAGAUAGUUAUUCAUGGAAUGAAAAUCUUCUCCAAGAUUUAUUCUCUCAAAAUCGGUUAAGAGUGAUUCUGGGUAUUUAUAUGAAUGGUAAAGAUGAAAAUAAUUCCUUAAUCUGGACCCGACCAGUUAAUAGAAAAUACUCAACCAAAUCUUGUUAUAAGAUACAUGCAGAAAAUAUUCAGAUUUCUUCUUCUCUUAAUGAAUUCUUAUGGAGAAAGUUUUGGUCAUUUACUUUCAUUUCGCCUAAGAUUAUGUUGUUUAUGUGGAAAGUACUCCAUAAUGGCUUACCAGUUAAGCAUAUCAUGAAAAGAUUCAAUACUCAUAUUGAAUCUAUUUGUGUGUUGUGUAAGCAAGAUGUCCAUGAAGAAACAAUUGAACAUAUGUUCUUCAAUUGUCCUUGGGCUAAAAGAGUAUUCAUGUAUUCUACUUUGGAGUUUUGGAUGCAAAUGGAAGUGAAUAAUCCUAGAACUAUUAUCUUGAAAUGGAUUGGUGAUCAAGAAAUUCACAAAUUUCAUUAUGGAUCAGUGCUUAAAAAACAGUUAUGGAUUUCAGUUUUUGCCAUCUUGCAAUAUCAUGGAACAUAGGGGAUAAUCGGCCUAAUAUCAUCUAUCAGUAUUGGAAUCCUCCGGAAUUUGUCUACUGCAAGACUAACGUUGAUGCAGUAUUCAUCCCAAAUCAAGUUGAUGCAAGGGAAAUCACGUAGAAUCAUUUGGGUUUGUUUGAAGGUUGUGGUACAACUACUGUUGAUGCAACUUCGAAAGUUACGUCAGAGAUAAAGGUUGUCAUUCUUGGUUUGGUGUUGUCUAAGAGAUUGAACCUAACAAAGAUCAUUGUGGAGGGAGAUGCUUCAUAAGCAAGUGAAAUACUGUGGACAGCAAAAUCUUUGAUUCUCAGGAUUAAAGUAGAAUGGGUUGGUGGGACUAUGUUUCUCCACCCAUAUGUAUCUCUUCAAACCUCAAUUUAAUGAGGUAGUCUUAAUAAAGCUUAGGGAUACUCGAUCCCUUUAUCCUUCAAAAAAAAAAGAUAUCCUAGUUCUCCAUUAGUUUACGAAGAAGAGCCUACCGCCGUUACAGGUUAGGGUUUCUGUUUUAUCCUCUACUUAUCUUCUGUGAUAACGCACGUUCAAGAUCAUGAUUUUUAGUUUUUCUCGUUUUGUAAAAUUCAGCAUGAAGGCCAUGCUUAGUAAUUCUAUGAUCGUGAGUUUUUUUUUAUUGAA